AUUUUUACUUUAUGUUUUCCUUCUUAUACAAAUAAAUCAGUUUAUGCAUUUAUUUUCCACCAAAGUUUGUUAUUUGGUUUUGCAGAGUUGAGUAACACAGAGGAAUGCAUGGUGUAGCACAUGAAAUCAAGAUCUCUUAGAGCAAUAUUAUGAAAUCUGUUUUAGGGCCUGUAGUGCUCCCCAAGGCCAUAGAUUCUUGUGUUCGAUCAUUUCCUUGAAUUGUUUUCAAUUUGUUUGAAUGAAGUGUUCAAAUUUGUACUUAUUAUCAAUAACUUAUUUAGAUAUUUGAGUGUGAUGUGUUAUAAAAUUAUUUUUUGGUUGCUGUUUAUUUUUUGGUUUGAAGGGAGACAGUUUGUGUAAUCCUUAUCUGUGUUAAAUUUGCUGUGAAAGAAUAAAUCAGAGGGAAUUAUUUAAUUAUCAGGUUUUUAAUUUGUAUUUUUAGUGCACUAUUUUAACGUCUGUAUGAAUCUCCUUUGUCCUCUUUUCAUAGGUCUGCCCAUGAAGUGGGCUGGCAUCAUUCUCCAGGGAUUCAUCAGGUACCACAAACACAUAUGUAUCACCUGUAAAAACAUUUAUUGGUGCAAGCAAAACCUUCCAGCAAUCUCAAACAGAUCUUUAAGGGCUGCUUUUUUUUGGUUUUUUUUUUUUUUUUUUUUUUAAACUUUAAGGGUUUUAAGUACCUGUUCCUGAUGUGGAAUAUCUUGUUGCAUCUUCUCUGAAGCUAGAUAGAGGCUGAAUCUCGACUCCAGGAGCUCACUGACUGUUUAGGGAGUUCACUGUCAUAGAGGCAACACUUGAGAAAUAGUUACGUCUUCCCACGUGAGCUAUGCUGCUUUGGCAGUGUAUGGAUUAUGUAUGGAGGGUACUACUCCAACUAAACUAUUGAAUUCUAUUAUCACCUUUGCUAUAAAGCCAUAUUUUAUGGUGGAGGCAGUCAAUAGCCAUAACCACCACUUGAUACUACCUCUUCUGUAGGCUGUUCUAUCAGCCAAUGGUAUUACUUUAUACAUAUCAUGAGAUUUUGUUCAGUGUGUGCAAGCUGUGGUAAGACAACUUUAGUGAUGCAUUAACCAAAGGUAAGACAUUUCAGUGAAACAAGGAUUGAUACCCAUGGCCAAAGUUUGUGUGACUAUGGGGAAUGUGUUGCCUACAGGAGGUUUUCGUGCUUCAGGUUGGAAUUGGAGUCAGUGAAUGAGAGUAGAAGAAAAUGAGAAUAAGACAUGGAGGAUAAGUUAUCAAUCUACCAAUGUUAAAGUCUAAAAGCCUGAUAACUUAAAAGUCUUAGUCUGAUAUCAGAAAGGUUUAUAUCUAUGUGUUUCUGUAAAACUUGAACAGAAGUUUGGGGGUAGAUAUUUAUUAGGGAACGAUUUUUACAUUGGAUCAAAACAUGUAAGAUAGGUAACAGUAAUUUCUUCUGCUUCAAUGACUGUAAUAACAAGACAUAUUAGCCAGAAAAAAAAUAGAAUGUAUUAAAAAAAUAGAGUUGAGUGAUAUUUAUGAAAAAAUGUAUCUUGGAUUAAGGAGUAUGUCUAUGAAGGUGGUGGGGCUCAGAACAUGAUACCCCAAAGUACGUUGUCUUGGCAUGCUGAGUACUUUGAACUAAAGGAGAUUAGAAGGCCUCAGAAGCAAGUUCUCUUGGCCUUCUCCUGCCUUCUUGUCUCCUGUCUCUCUUUUCCAUCAGAAGAGAGUCAUGGAAACCAGAAUUCCUCUUCCCCUAGGGGGAUCAUAGAAAUUAGAAGUCUUUUUCCCCAAAGCAAUCCAUAAAACCUAGAAAGGUCACUUCCUCCCUUCUUUCUUCUCCCUUGAAGAUCCUUGUUCCAGAGGGACCCUGCUCCAUACCAUAUGUGGGGGGAAGGAAUGCUACACAGAGAGGCCAAGAAGAACAUGAAUAGCCAGGCUUUGCCUGGUUCCCCCCUCAGUCUAUUACCAUUCGAUUAUUUCCUUUUGUCUAAUCACAUUUCUACAUGACUAUCCAUUUGUCAUUGAACCUAAGCAUAACAAAGGGCAGUUUUUCUUUGGGUCUUUGGGUCUUUCCUUUCUGAAGGCUCCCAUGUCAUGUAAAACUUUGAAUAAAUACAUUUGUUACAGUCUUCUCUUAUUAAUCUUUUGUCAUAGGAGUAUCAGUUGUGACCCUUAUGAUGGGUGAUGAAAGGUAUCACACCUUUCCACUUCUAAAAAGGUAACUGCUAUUUCUGCCCAUAAGAGUUUGUUUAGGCUAACUUAAGGCCAGAAGAAUUUCUGAGAUAUGGUUAACUAAAUGAAACAUAAAUAUGAUACAUAUAUUUUCAUCAUUUCUAUGAAAAUAUAUAGUGCUAACUUUUUUCAUUGAAAUUGUUCAAUACCCUAGUUACAUUUACUUAUGAUUAUCAUUGUGUAAGAAUCAUAAGUAAAAAAGGAGAUUACUUAACUAAUAUAAAAUUUAUGAAAAAGGACUUUAUUCCUAGUUUAAGGAAAAUAAUUUUUUUUUUCAUUUUUGUGUCCAAGAGCUUUUAAGAGUGUUCAUGAAGUAGGAAUUGUAAUGCCUACUUGACUGGCUGGCUGUGAAUAAGAUAUGUGAUGAUAUGUGAAAACUACCACCAAUAUGCCUAGAAAAUUUAGGUGAUCAAUAAAUACUUAUUUCUCCACCUCAUCUCCACUAUGUCCCCUUCCUUCCACCUUACUUUUCUAAUCUGCCUCU
This 2677-nucleotide long non-coding RNA is filed under the name Homo sapiens (human). RNAcentral's name for it is "HSALNT0087609". The record is from RNAcentral. Lineage: Eukaryota; Metazoa; Chordata; Mammalia; Primates; Hominidae.